This 66-nucleotide transfer RNA is filed under the name Bacillus cereus. RNAcentral's name for it is "tRNA-Asn". It matches the Rfam family "tRNA". Rfam says of the family: Transfer RNA (tRNA) molecules are approximately 80 nucleotides in length. Their secondary structure includes four short double-helical elements and three loops (D, anti-codon, and T loops). Further hydrogen bonds mediate the characteristic L-shaped molecular structure. tRNAs have two regions of fundamental functional importance: the anti-codon, which is responsible for specific mRNA codon recognition, and the 3' end, to which the tRNAs corresponding amino acid is attached (by aminoacyl-tRNA synthetases). tRNAs cope with the degeneracy of the genetic code in two manners: having more than one tRNA (with a specific anti-codon) for a particular amino acid; and 'wobble' base-pairing, i.e. permitting non-standard base-pairing at the 3rd anti-codon position. Lineage: Bacteria; Bacillati; Bacillota; Bacilli; Caryophanales; Bacillaceae. The record is from RNAcentral.
GCAGUAGCUCAGUGGUAGAGCUAUCGGCUGUUAACCGAUCGGUCGUAGGUUCGAGUCCUACCUGCG